GAUGAACGCUAGCGGGAGGCCUAACACAUGCAAGCCGAGCGGUAUUUGUUCUUCGGAACAGAGAGAGCGGCGCACGGGUGCGGAACACGUGUGCAACCUGCCUUGAUCUGGGGGAUAGCCUUUCGAAAGGAAGAUUAAUACCCCAUAAUAUAUUGAGUGGCAUCAUUUGAUAUUGAAAACUCCGGUGGAUAGAGAUGGGCACGCGCAAGAUUAGGUAGUUGGUGAGGUAACGGCUCACCAAGUCAAUGAUCUUUAGGGGGCCUGAGAGGGUGAUCCCCCACACUGGUACUGAGACACGGACCAGACUCCUACGGGAGGCAGCAGUGAGGAAUAUUGGACAAUGGGUUAGCGCCUGAUCCAGCCAGCCCGCGUGAAGGACGACGGCCCUAGGGGUUGUAAACUUCUUUUGUAUAGGGAUAAACCUACUCUCGUGAGAGUAGCUGAAGGUACUAUACGAAUAAGCACCGGCUAACUCCGUG
This 479-nucleotide ribosomal RNA is filed under the name uncultured bacterium. RNAcentral's name for it is "partial 16S ribosomal RNA". It matches the Rfam family "Bacterial small subunit ribosomal RNA", at positions 28 to 507 of the family's 1533-position model. The record is from RNAcentral.